RNAcentral lists this long non-coding RNA (466 nucleotides) under Olea europaea (common olive). RNAcentral describes it as "long non-coding RNA (OEUR_LNC000709)". The record is from RNAcentral. Lineage: Eukaryota; Viridiplantae; Streptophyta; Magnoliopsida; Lamiales; Oleaceae.
UUUCAUCAACAUCCUUGCCCCAUUCCCCUUUUCUUUUUUUCUCCCCCCCCCCCCCCCCCCCCCCCCCCUCCCCUCUCUUCCUUUCCUUUGCAAAAUGACGAUGUUUUAUGUAUAUAUAAAAAUAAAAAAUAAAAAUACAUCUUUUGUUUCGAAAUGACGUCGUUCCUUGACAACCAAAACGACAUCAUUUUUGCUCAAGGUUUUCUCAUUUCUACACUCCUCGACAGUUCCAUGGCAAUCGCUCUUCAGAACCUUCUCCAUCCUAUUGCAAUCUACUAUUAGCUCUUCGAUUAUCAGUAGAUAGUCUAUAGUAACCUUAAAAUCAUGGUAUAAGGUUUGUUGUCAUGUAAUUUUCCUUCAUAAUUUCUCUAGAUUUGGAUGAUCUUCGUGCUUGGUCAAGAAAUCUAUAAAUUUUUGUAUGUUUCUCUUAUUUGAAUUUAUUUUCUUGGGUCUCUUUACUUCUUUG